UGAGCAAUCUGCCCUUCUCUUUGGAAUAAGCGUUGGAAACGACGUCUAAUGCCGAAUACGACCUCCUUUCGCAUGAUCGGAGGUGGAAAGCUCCGGCGGAGAAGGAUGAGCUCGCGGCCUAUCAGCUAGUUGGUGUGGGUAAUGGCCCACAAGGCGACGACGGGUAGCCGGCCUGAGAGGGUGACCGGCCACACUGGGACUGAGACACGGCCCAGACUCC
Molecule: ribosomal RNA, 220 nt
Filed under: uncultured bacterium
Lineage: Bacteria
Description: partial 16S ribosomal RNA
Rfam family: Bacterial small subunit ribosomal RNA
Source: RNAcentral